RNAcentral lists this long non-coding RNA (278 nucleotides) under Phoenix dactylifera (date palm). RNAcentral's name for it is "long non-coding RNA (PDAC_LNC009893)". The record is from RNAcentral. Lineage: Eukaryota; Viridiplantae; Streptophyta; Magnoliopsida; Arecales; Arecaceae.
CUCUGGCAAAUCGCAGAGACGUCCCCCCGGCGAGGCGUCUCGCAUCAGUCGCGGAGACGUCUCGGGGACCUAACGAGGGUUUUUAAAUAGGUGAAACAGCUCGAGCCGACCCGAGCUAUUCUCUUCCAUCCCCGACAAAAACAAAAACCCUAGCCUCCAUUUGCUCUCCACCACAAACCCUAGCCUCCAUUUGCUCUCCAUCGCAAACCCUAGCAUCCAUGGCACCUAAGAGGGCUAGACGAACCGGUGGGAGGCGUCCUAGGGUAGCAACCGACGGU